Small nucleolar RNA from Apodemus sylvaticus (European woodmouse), 133 nucleotides. RefSeq annotates it as small nucleolar RNA SNORA44. The transcript has a single exon. Lineage: Eukaryota; Metazoa; Chordata; Mammalia; Rodentia; Muridae. The record is from RefSeq and is a predicted model, not a curated record.
CAGCAUGUUUCCAAGGGCUUUGGCUGAGUUAUGAUCAUGGGAUCCCCAACUAUAUCACAGAGUGAAAUGGAGCUCUGACAGCUCAGCUCAGGUCAGCACAGAACCUGUGGCUGUUAUUAUCUUUCUUAGAAGG